UACGGGGGGGGCAAGCGUUGUUCGGAAUUACUGGGCGUAAAGGGCGCGUAGGCUGCUCGCUAAGUCGGGUGUGAAAACUCUGGGCUCAACCCAGAGCCUGCAUUCGAAACUGACGAGCUAGAGUUCUGGAGGGGAAAGCGGAAUUCCUGGUGUAGCGGUGAAAUGCGUAGAUAUCUGGAGGGACACCGGUGGCGAAGGCGGCAUCCUGGACCGAGAUUGACGCUGAUGCGCGAAAGCCAGGGGAGCAAACGGG
This 253-nucleotide ribosomal RNA is filed under the name uncultured bacterium. RNAcentral's name for it is "partial 16S ribosomal RNA". It matches the Rfam family "Bacterial small subunit ribosomal RNA", at positions 524 to 776 of the family's 1533-position model. The record is from RNAcentral.